This 207-nucleotide ribosomal RNA is filed under the name uncultured bacterium. RNAcentral's name for it is "partial 16S ribosomal RNA". It matches the Rfam family "Bacterial small subunit ribosomal RNA", at positions 524 to 731 of the family's 1533-position model. The record is from RNAcentral.
UACGUAGGGUGCAAGCGUUAAUCGGAAUUACUGGGCGUAAAGCGUGCGCAGGCGGUGAUGUAAGACAGUUGUGAAAUCCCCGGGCUCAACCUGGGAACUGCAUCUGUGACUGCAUCGCUGGAGUGCGGCAGAGGGGAUGGAAUUCCGGCGUGUAGCAGUGAAAUGCGUAGAUAUGCGGAGGAACACCGAUGGCGAAGGCAAUCCCUG